GAUGAACGCUGGCGGCGUGCCUAAUACAUGCAAGUCGAGCGAAUGGAUUGAGAGCUUGCUCUUAUGAAGUUAGCGGCGGACGGGUGAGUAACACGUGGGUAACCUGCCCAUAAGACUGGGAUAACUCCGGGAAACCGGGGCUAAUACCGGAUAACAUUUCGAACCGCAUGGUUCGAAAUUGAAAGGCGGCUUCGGCUGUCACUUAUGGAUGGACCCGCGUCGCAUUAGCUAGUUGGUGAGGUAACGGCUCACAAAGGCAACGAUGCGUAGCCGACCUGGGAGGGGGACCGGCCACACUGGGACUGAGACACGGCCCAGACUCCUACGGGAGGCAGCAGUAGGGAAUCUUCCGCAAUGGACGAAAGUCUGACGGAGCAACGCCGCGUGAGUGAUGAAGGCUUUCGGGUCGUAAAACUCUGUUGUUAGGGAAGAACAAGUGCUAGUUGAAUAAGCUGGCACCUUGACGGUACCUAACCAGAAAGCCACGGCUAACUACGUGCCAGCCGCCGCAGUAA
This 515-nucleotide ribosomal RNA is filed under the name uncultured bacterium. RNAcentral's name for it is "partial 16S ribosomal RNA". It matches the Rfam family "Bacterial small subunit ribosomal RNA", at positions 28 to 523 of the family's 1533-position model. The record is from RNAcentral.